GCAAGUCGAGGGGCAGCAUGUUGUGUGCUUGCACACAAUGAUGGCGACCGGCGCACGGGUGAGUAACACGUAUCCAACCUGCCCCCUGGUAGGGAAUAGCCCGGUGAAAACCGGAUUAAUGCCCUAUGUUCUCCUUUGAGGGCAUCUGAGAAGGAGCAAAGAUUUAUCGCCAUGGGAUGGGGAUGCGGCUGAUUAGGAAGCCGGCGGGGUGACGGCCCACCGGUCCUUCGAUCAGUAGGGGUUCUGAGAGGAAGGUCCCCCACACUGGUACUGAGACACGGACCAGACUCCUACGGGAGGCAGCAGUGAGGAAUAUUGGUCAAUGGGCGAUAGCCUGAACCAGCCAAGUAGCGUGCAGGAAGACGGCCCUACGGGUUGUAAACUGCUUUUAUGCGGGGGUAAAGUGUGCCACUAGUGGCAUAUUGCAAGUACCGCAUGAAUAAGGACCGGCUAAUUCCGUGCCAGCAGCCGCGGUAAUACGGAAGGUCCGGGCGUUAUCCGGAUUUAUUGGGUUUAAAGGGAGCGCAGGCGGGUUUUUAAGCGUGACGUGAAAUGUCCCGGCCCAACCGGGGAGUUGCGUCGCGAACUGGGGACCUUGAGUGGCGGCGAUGUGCGCGGAACUCGUGGUGUAGCGGUGAAAUGCUUAGAUAUCACGAAGAACUCCGAUUGCGAAGGCAGCGCGCAAGCCGUUUACUGACGCUGAGGCUCGAAGGUGCGGGUAUCGAACAGGAUUAGAUACCCUGGUAGUCCGCACGGUAAACGAUGGAUGCCCGCUGUUGGGUUAUUGAUAUUCAGCGGCCAAGCGAAAGCGUUAAGCAUCCCACCUGGGGAGUACGCCGGCAACGGUGAAACUCAAAGGAAUUGACGGGGGCCCGCACAAGCGGAGGAACAUGUGGUUUAAUUCGAUGAUACGCGAGGAACCUUACCCGGGCUUGAACUGCAGGUGGACGAUCCAGAGAUGGUGAGGUCCUUCGGGACACCUGUGGAGGUGCUGCAUGGUUGUCGUCAGCUCGUGCCGUGAGGUGUCGGCUUAAGUGCCAUAACGAGCGCAACCCCUGCCGCCAGUUGCCAUCACUUCGGGUGGGCACUCUGUCGGGACUGCCACCGCAAGGUGUGAGGAAGGUGGGGAUGACGUCAAAUCAGCACGGCCCUUACGUCCGGGGCUACACACGUGUUACAAUGGCCGUUACAGAGGGCAGGCUCAUUGCAAGAUGAGUCUAAUCGAGAAAGACGGUCUCAGUUCGGAUUGGGGUCUGCAACCCGACCCCAUGAAGCUGGAUUCGCUAGUAAUCGCGCAUCAGCCAUGGCGCGGUGAAUACGUUCCCGGGCCUUGUACACACCGCCCGUCAAGCCAUGAAAGCCUGGGGC
This 1368-nucleotide ribosomal RNA is filed under the name uncultured rumen bacterium. RNAcentral's name for it is "bacterial SSU rRNA". It matches the Rfam family "Bacterial small subunit ribosomal RNA", at positions 57 to 1418 of the family's 1533-position model. The record is from RNAcentral.